UAGUAGAGAGCUGACUUUAGAGGGAUCAAGAAUAGCUUGCUGGAUGGAAGGAGCUUGGGGCCAGUCAUCAUCUUAAAGGCUCUGUGGCAGCUUGGACUUGAAGUAGGGUGCACCCGGAAUUGACCAAUACAAACAGUGGACUGCACUGGAUUCUUCUUGUGCCCUGUCUCAUAUCCUCUUGUCCCACCUUUUCAUAACAGCCAUUGCCAUGGGAACCAGCUGCAUCCAGGCUAGAGCAAAAGGAGGUACAAAACCAAAUGCUAAGAAGCUGCUGCAUUUACUGAGAUAACCGUCUUCAGCUAAUGUGAAGCACCUACAACUUACAUAGAGGACUGCAGUAAAUACCUUAAAAACACAACCUCAUUCCAACCACAAGAAUCCAAUCAGAGAGGUAA
RNAcentral lists this long non-coding RNA (395 nucleotides) under Homo sapiens (human). Its description in RNAcentral is "HSALNT0377064". Lineage: Eukaryota; Metazoa; Chordata; Mammalia; Primates; Hominidae. The record is from RNAcentral.